RNAcentral lists this ribosomal RNA (253 nucleotides) under uncultured bacterium. RNAcentral describes it as "partial 16S ribosomal RNA". It matches the Rfam family "Bacterial small subunit ribosomal RNA", at positions 524 to 776 of the family's 1533-position model. The record is from RNAcentral.
UACGGGGGGGACGAGCGUUGUUCGGAUUUACUGGGCGUAAAGGGCGCGUAGGCGGGCCUUCAAGUCGGGUGUGAAAACUGGUAGCUUAACUACCAGCCUGCAUUCGAUACUGUCGGUCUUGAGUACAGUAGAGGAAAGCGGAAUUCCAGGUGUAGCGGUGAAAUGCGUAGAUAUCUGGAAGAACACCAGUAGCGAAGGCGGCUUUCUGGGCUGAUACUGACGCUAAAGCGCGAAGGCUUGGGUAGCAAACAGG